UCCCGUGUGGCUCAGUUGGUAGAGCAUGGUGUUUGCAACACCAGGGUUGUGGGUUCGAUUCCCACGUGGGAC
Salmo salar (Atlantic salmon) is the source of this 72-nucleotide non-coding RNA. The record is from Rfam. Lineage: Eukaryota; Metazoa; Chordata; Actinopteri; Salmoniformes; Salmonidae.